This 485-nucleotide ribosomal RNA is filed under the name Neurospora tetraspora. RNAcentral's name for it is "SSU rRNA". It matches the Rfam family "Eukaryotic small subunit ribosomal RNA", at positions 405 to 895 of the family's 1831-position model. Lineage: Eukaryota; Fungi; Ascomycota; Sordariomycetes; Sordariales; Sordariaceae. The record is from RNAcentral.
GGCUACUACAUCCAAGGAAGGCAGCAGGCGCGCAAAUUACCCAAUCCCGACACGGGGAGGUAGUGACAAUAAAUACUGAUACAGGGCUCUUUUGGGUCUUGUAAUUGGAAUGAGUACAAUUUAAAUCCCUUAACGAGGAACAAUUGGAGGGCAAGUCUGGUGCCAGCAGCCGCGGUAAUUCCAGCUCCAAUAGCGUAUAUUAAAGUUGUUGAGGUUAAAAAGCUCGUAGUUGAACCUUGGGCCCGGCCCGUCGGUCCGCCUCACCGCGUGCACUGACUGGGUCGGGCCUUUCUUUCUGGAGAACCGCAUGCCCUUCACUGGGUGUGUCGGGGAACCAGGACUUUUACCGUGAACAAAUCAGAUCGCUUAAAGAAGGCCUAUGCUCGAAUGUACUAGCAUGGAAUAAUAGAAUAGGACGUGUGGUUCUAUUUUGUUGGUUUCUAGGACCGCCGUAAUGAUUAAUAGGGACAGUCGGGGGCAUCAGU